This 495-nucleotide ribosomal RNA is filed under the name uncultured bacterium. Its description in RNAcentral is "partial 16S ribosomal RNA". It matches the Rfam family "Bacterial small subunit ribosomal RNA", at positions 28 to 507 of the family's 1533-position model. The record is from RNAcentral.
GACGAACGCUGGCGGCGUGCCUAAUACAUGCAAGUAGAACGCUGAAGGAGGAGCUUGCUUCUCUGGAUGAGUUGCGAACGGGUGAGUAACGCGUAGGUAACCUGCCUGGUAGCGGGGGAUAACUAUUGGAAACGAUAGCUAAUACCGCAUAAGAGUAGAUGUUGCAUGACAUUUGCUUAAAAGGUGCAAUUGCAUCACUACCAGAUGGACCUGCGUUGUAUUAGCUAGUUGGUGAGGUAACGGCUCACCAAGGCGACGAUACAUAGCCGACCUGAGAGGGUGAUCGGCCACACUGGGACUGAGACACGGCCCAGACUCCUACGGGAGGCAGCAGUAGGGAAUCUUCGGCAAUGGACGGAAGUCUGACCGAGCAACGACGCGUGAGUGAAGAAGGUUUUCGGAUCGUAAAGCUCUGUUGUAAGAGAAGAACGAGUGUGAGAGUGGAAAGUUCACACUGUGACGGUAUCUUACCAGAAAGGGACGGCUAACUACGUG